UACGGAGGAUGCAAGCGUUAUCCGGAUUUAUUGGGUUUAAAGGGUGCGUAGGCUGUUCUGCAAGUCAGGGGUGAAAGCCCGGCGCUUAACGCCGGAACUGCCUUUGAUACUGUAGGGCUUGAAUUCGGAUGCCGUGGGAGGAAUGAGUAGUGUAGCGGUGAAAUGCAUAGAUAUUACUCAGAACACCGAUUGCGAAGGCAUCUCACGAAUCCGUGAUUGACGCUGAGGCACGAAAGCGUGGGGAUCAAAC
This 250-nucleotide ribosomal RNA is filed under the name uncultured prokaryote. RNAcentral describes it as "partial 16S ribosomal RNA". It matches the Rfam family "Bacterial small subunit ribosomal RNA", at positions 524 to 773 of the family's 1533-position model. The record is from RNAcentral.